CUUCUUCAAAAUGUGUGUAAAGGAUUCUGACGAAACCGUUCUGCACGCCCUCGUUCAGUGUCCCGGUAUUACUGACUUGUGGGGUUGUGUCGAACAGCUGCUGUCA
Octopus sinensis (East Asian common octopus) is the source of this 106-nucleotide long non-coding RNA. RefSeq lists it as uncharacterized. The record is from RefSeq and is a predicted model, not a curated record. The transcript is spliced from 3 exons. NCBI's taxonomy places the organism in Eukaryota, Metazoa, Mollusca, Cephalopoda, Octopoda, Octopodidae.